RNAcentral lists this transfer RNA (87 nucleotides) under Planctomycetes bacterium DG_23. Its description in RNAcentral is "tRNA-Leu". It matches the Rfam family "tRNA". From Rfam's summary of the family: Transfer RNA (tRNA) molecules are approximately 80 nucleotides in length. Their secondary structure includes four short double-helical elements and three loops (D, anti-codon, and T loops). Further hydrogen bonds mediate the characteristic L-shaped molecular structure. tRNAs have two regions of fundamental functional importance: the anti-codon, which is responsible for specific mRNA codon recognition, and the 3' end, to which the tRNAs corresponding amino acid is attached (by aminoacyl-tRNA synthetases). tRNAs cope with the degeneracy of the genetic code in two manners: having more than one tRNA (with a specific anti-codon) for a particular amino acid; and 'wobble' base-pairing, i.e. permitting non-standard base-pairing at the 3rd anti-codon position. The record is from RNAcentral. RNAcentral also lists the same sequence under 1 other name. Lineage: Bacteria; Pseudomonadati; Planctomycetota.
GCCGGAGUGGCGGAAUUUGGUAGACGCGUUAGGUUGAGGGCCUAAUGGUCCCUAUGGACUGUACGAGUUCGAGUCUCGUCUCCGGCA